UCGGGUAUGGUGUAGCGGUAACAUCGCUGACUCUCAACAGAGAUUCAUAUGGAUCUAGAAGUCCUCAGCAGCCCGGGGUUCGACUCCCCGUAUCCGAG
This is a transfer RNA of 98 nucleotides. It matches the Rfam family "tRNA". From Rfam's summary of the family: Transfer RNA (tRNA) molecules are approximately 80 nucleotides in length. Their secondary structure includes four short double-helical elements and three loops (D, anti-codon, and T loops).